This 870-nucleotide ribosomal RNA is filed under the name Rhodoveronaea aquatica. RNAcentral's name for it is "partial large subunit ribosomal RNA". It matches the Rfam family "Eukaryotic large subunit ribosomal RNA", at positions 38 to 942 of the family's 3401-position model. The record is from RNAcentral. Lineage: Eukaryota; Fungi; Ascomycota; Sordariomycetes.
GCAUAUCAAUAAGCGGAGGAAAAGAAACCAACAGGGAUUGCCCUAGUAACGGCGAGUGAAGCGGCAACAGCUCAAAUUUGAAAUCUGGCUUAGGCCCGAAUUGUAAUUUGCAGAGGAUGCUUUUGAUGCGGCGCUUUCUGAGUUCCCUGGAACGGGACGCCAUAGAGGGUGAGAGCCCCGUAUAGUUAGACGCCAAGUCUCUGUAAAGCUCCUUCGACGAGUCGAGUAGUUUGGGAAUGCUGCUCAAAAUGGGAGGUAAAUUUCUUCUAAAGCUAAAUACCGGCCAAAGACCGAUAGCGCACAAGUAGAGUGAUCGAAAGAUGAAAAGCACUUUGAAAAGAGGGUUAAAAAGCACGUGAAAUUGUUGAAAGGGAAGCGCUUAUGACCAGACUUGUGCCUUGUGGAUAAGCCAGCGUUCUCGCUGGUGUUUCUUCUCGGCUCAGGCCAGCAUCGGUUUUCUUAGGGGGAUAAAAGUUUUAGGAACGUAGCUCUUUCGGGAGUGUUAUAGCCUAUUGCACAAUAUCCCUAGGGGGACCGAGGACCGCGCUUCGGCAAGGAUGCUGGCGUAAUGGUUAUCAGCGACCCGUCUUGAAACACGGACCAAGGAGUCAAGCAUUAGGGCGAGUGUUUGGGUGUAAAACCCGCACGCGUAAUGAAAGUGAACGCUGGUGAGAGCUUCGGCGCAUCAUCGACCGAUCCUGAUGUAUUCGGAUGGAUUUGAGUAAGAGCCUUACCGCUUGGACCCGAAAGUUGAUGAACUAUGCCUGUAUAGGGUGAAGCCAGAGGAAACUCUGGUGGAGGCUCGCAGCGGUUCUGACGUGCAAAUCGAUCGUCAAAUAUGGGCAUGGGGGCGAAAGACUAAUCGAAUCA